CCCGGUGCAAGUGCGUAGGUAUGCUCCGCAGGCAAAUCCGCGGGGAUGAGUCGAGACACGAGUCCGUGGGCGCAAGCCCUGAAGCUGUUGAGCCACGGCUGCCAAGAAAAGCUUCUAAGUUUAGAUCGCGCGAACCGUACCGCAGACCAACUCAGGUGGAUGGGAUGAAUAAUCCAAGGCGCUCGAGAGAACUCUGGCCAAGGAACUCGGCAAAUUGACCCCGUACCUUCGGAAUAAGGGGUGCUCCCCAUGGUGAGGCAGAUUCCUGCUCAGCCUCAGGGAGCCGCAGAGAAAUGGUGGUGGCGACUGUUUACUAAAAACAUAGGUCUGUGCGAAGUCCUACAGACGACGUAUACGGACUGACGCCUGCCCGGUGCCGGAAGGUUAAAAGGAGGAGUCAGCGCAAGCGAAGCUCCGAUUUGAAGCCCCGGUAAACGGCGGCCGUAACGAUAACGGUCCUAAGGUAGCGAAAUUCCUUGUCGGGCAAGUUCCGACCUGCGCGAAUGGCGUAACGAUCUCCACGCUGUCUCGGCCAGAGACUCGGUGAAAUUGAAGUCGCGGUGAAAAUGCCGUGUACCCGCAGAAAGACGGAAAGACCCUGUGCACCUUUACUAUAGCUUGACAUUGGGUUUUGAACCUGCAUGUGUAGGAUAGGUGGGAGGCUGUGAAAGCUGUACGCCAGUAUGGCCGGAGCCACCCGUGAAAUACCACCCUUGUUUGUUCAGGACCCUAACUCGCAGCUGUAAUCCAGCGCGAAGACAGUGUCUGGUGGGUAGUUUGACUGGGGCGGUCGCCUCCUAAAGAGUAACGGAGGCAUGCAAAGGUUCCCUCAGGCUGAUUGGGAACCAGCCGUUGAGUGCAAGCGCAUAAGGGAGCUUGACUGCAAGAGAGACAUCUCGAACAGAUACGAAAGUAGGUGCUAGUGAUCCGGUGGUCCCGAAUGGAAGGGCCAUCGUUCAUUGGAUAAAAGGUACGCCGGGGAUAACAGGCUGAUCGCAUCCAAGAGUUCACAUCGACGAUGCGGUUUGGCACCUCGAUGUCGGCUCAUCACAUCCUGGGGCUGAAGCAGGUCCCAAGGGUACGGCUGUUCGCCGUUUAAAGUGGUACGCGAGCUGGGUUUAAAACGUCGUGAGACAGUUUGGUCCCUAUCUUCUGUGGGCGUAGGAGAAUUGAGAGGGUUUGUCCCUAGUACGAGAGGACCGGGAUGAACGCACCACUGGUGGAUCAGUUGUCGCGCCAGCGGCAUAGCUGAGUAGCUAUGUGCGGAAUGGAUAACCGCUGAAAGCAUCUAAGCGGGAAGCCAGCCUCGAGAUAAGUUCUCCCUGUCGCAAGACACUAAAGGGCCGAUGAAGACUACAUCGUUGAUAGGCCGGAGGUGGAAGCGCUGCGAAGCGUGGAGCUGACCGGUACUAAUAGCCCGUGCGCCU
RNAcentral lists this ribosomal RNA (1427 nucleotides) under metagenome. RNAcentral describes it as "bacterial LSU rRNA". It matches the Rfam family "Bacterial large subunit ribosomal RNA", at positions 1506 to 2925 of the family's 2925-position model. The record is from RNAcentral.